RNAcentral lists this long non-coding RNA (246 nucleotides) under Carica papaya (papaya). RNAcentral describes it as "long non-coding RNA (CPAP_LNC010901)". Lineage: Eukaryota; Viridiplantae; Streptophyta; Magnoliopsida; Brassicales; Caricaceae. The record is from RNAcentral.
GUAGCCUUAGGGCCCGAAUAAAUAGGGGUUCGCAUAAUAAAGUAGCCACAAAGGUUUUUGGGGUGUUAAAUUCCCCCCACCUUAGAAAUUUGGUUCCCCAAAAUUGCCAUGAAUAAAUCUGGGAACUUCUUUCUCAUCUCGGUCUCCAACUCGCACGUCACUUCUUCUGCAGUGUGGUGUUGCCAUUGCGCCUUCACCAUGGAGAUCCUCUUGUUGCAUAAAACCUUGUCAGUCCAACCAAGGAUU